This 524-nucleotide ribosomal RNA is filed under the name uncultured bacterium. Its description in RNAcentral is "bacterial SSU rRNA". It matches the Rfam family "Bacterial small subunit ribosomal RNA", at positions 28 to 533 of the family's 1533-position model. The record is from RNAcentral.
GAUGAACGCUAGCGGGAGGCUUAACACAUGCAAGUCGAGGGGCAGCAUAGGGUAGCAAUACUCUGAUGGCGAACCGGCAAACGGGUGAGUAACGCGUAUGUAACCUACCCUGUACAGGGGGAUAACCCGGAGAAAUUCGGACUAAUAUCCCAUAACAAUAUCCGGGGGCAUCUUUGGAUAUUUAAAGUUCCGGCGGUACGGGAUGGGCAUGCGUAACAUUAGCUAGUUGGUAAGGUAACGGCUUACCAAGGCUUUGAUGUUUAGGGGUCCUGAGAGGGUGGUCCCCCACACUGGUACUGAGACACGGACCAGACUCCUACGGGAGGCAGCAGUGAGGAAUAUUGGUCAAUGGGCGCAAGCCUGAACCAGCCAUCCCGCGUGCAGGAAGACGGCGCUAUGCGUUGUAAACUGCUUUUCCCACGGGACGAGAAACUUCGCGCACGUGUUGCGCAAUUGUACGGUACCCUGGAAUAAGGCAUCGGCUAACUCCGUCGCCAGCACGCCGGACGGUAAACUGUAGUCGU